GAUGAACGCUCGCGAUAGGCUUAACACAUGCAAGUCGAGGGGCAGCACAAGGUAGCUUGCUAUCUGGGUGGCGACCGGCGCACGGGUGCGUAACGCGUAUGCAACUUGCCCUAUACAGGAGGAUAACCCGUCGAAAGACGGACUAAUACUGCGUAUGCUCACAACUUGGCAUCAAGUGGUGAGGAAAGAAAUUCGGUAUAGGAUAGGCAUGCGUCCCAUUAGCUUGUUGGUGAGGUAACGGCUCACCAAGGCAACGAUGGGUAGGGGAACUGAGAGGUUUGGCCCCCACACUGGUACUGGGACACGGACCAGACUCCUACGGGAGGCAGCCGUGAGGAAUAUUGGUCAAUGGGCGCGAGCCUGAACCAGCCAAGUCGCGUGAAGGAUGACUGUCUUAUGGAUUGUAAACUUCUUUUAUACGGGAAUAACAAGAGUCACGUGUGACUCCCUGCAUGUACCGUAUGAAUAAGCACCGGCUAACUCCGUG
RNAcentral lists this ribosomal RNA (487 nucleotides) under uncultured bacterium. RNAcentral describes it as "partial 16S ribosomal RNA". It matches the Rfam family "Bacterial small subunit ribosomal RNA", at positions 28 to 507 of the family's 1533-position model. The record is from RNAcentral.